This 234-nucleotide unclassified non-coding RNA is filed under the name plant metagenome. RNAcentral's name for it is "partial contains small subunit ribosomal RNA, internal transcribed spacer 1, and 5.8S ribosomal RNA". The record is from RNAcentral.
UUUCUGUAGGUGAACCUGCGGAAGGAUCAUUAAUGUGUUUGGGCCUCACGGCUCUUCAUUCCGACGCUGUGCGCCUUCGGGCUGCACGCUGAGGGAGCAUAUAUCCACCCCUGUGCACACACACGGUGGCGAGCUGGGUAACGGCUCGCCGCUGAUCUUUACACACGUCUAAAAGUCAUUGUAUGUUUAUUUGAGAUAAAAACACAACUUUCAGCAACGGAUCUCUUGGCUCUC